Molecule: ribosomal RNA, 253 nt
Filed under: uncultured bacterium
Lineage: Bacteria
Description: partial 16S ribosomal RNA
Rfam family: Bacterial small subunit ribosomal RNA
Source: RNAcentral
UACGGGGGGGGCAAGCGUUGUUCGGAAUUCUUGGGCGUAAAGGGCUCGUAGGCGGUUUGUCGCGUCGGGAGUGAAAACACCGGGCUUAACUCGGUGCUUGCUUUCGAUACGGGCAGACUAGAGGAAUGCAGGGGAGAACGGAAUUCCUGGUGUAGCGGUGAAAUGCGCAGAUAUCAGGAGGAACACCGGUGGCGAAGGCGGUUCUCUGGGCAUGUCCUGACGCUGAGGAGCGAAAGUGUGGGGAGCGAACAGG